UGGGAUUGCAGGGGUAAGCCACCGCGCCCCGCCGCAACAAUGACUUUUUUAAAAAACAGGCAUUUACUGCAUUUUCGUACACUAGAAGCUAAAAUACCAUGCUGUCCAGUUCAAAACAGGACACCUGGCAACCCUGUUCCUAACAGCUUUCUGCAAAGCCAACACCCAGUGCUUUCUGGCUGCAUUGGCCUGUCCUCAUUUCCCCCUGGAAAACUUGUUUUAAACAGUACAGAUAACAUUCUGCCUCUAUUACAAUUAGCAGCUUCUCUCACCAGGUUAUCUAGUGUGGCAAGUGCUAGUGCGGAGUCACUUAGUAUCUUCUUUCAAAACCUCCCAGUGGCUGCCUUCAGGUAGCAUGUGAAAAGCUGCUCAUGGGGAAUUCAGCAGCUGCUUCAGGCCCUCCAGGGCAUUUCUUGCUGGCAUCUUCUGCCUCACCAGAUCGCCCUGAUUAUUAGUGAUCUGGGCCCCCUACCUAAUGGAAAACCAGCCACUCUUCUUCCCAGCCCCAAUGGAUAUUGAUGAGGGGUCCUUAAAUCUGGGAUCCUUUCCCCUCCUUGCCCAAUAAUUGAACUCCUAAAAUCCUUUUACUACCUGGGAAUCUGCAAAGACAACCUUGAAUUUGAACUGGAGCUAGAAGGACUUCCUCCGAACGAAUUUGCCCAUAGAUGACUCUCUGGUACAUGGUCUCUGUUGUUCAACUUUCUCUAUUCUGAAGUCUAGAAGACACCCUUGCUUCUGAAAGUGGGGCCUAAGAACCUGCAGCCUCACCAGGGAGCUUGGUAGAAAUCCAGAAUCUGAGGCAGGAUUCUAGACUUAUUGGAUCAGAUUCUGCAUUUCAACAAGAUUCCCCAGUGACCCCCAGGCAUCUUCAAAUUUGAGAGGCCAGGAAAGUGCUCAGGCCCUGCCCUUCCCUUCCCGUUGGCUGGGGAGAAUUCCUGUAAUUUGCCCUGUUUACGGGUCCUUAAUCUCCAACUUCACUGUCCUCGCUUUCCAAAGAAUCCUGAGUGGCUUCCUUCCAACACCUUAUCUGUCUUCCCCCACGCCCCUGAAGCCAGGGCCUCUUUUCUUCAAGGCCACCCCCCAACUCAUCUCAGGCUGAGGCUCCUCUCUUGAGGCCAUAUCCCAUGGUAGCAUUUCUUUGAGGGCUGCUUUUCUGCCGUUUUUCUCCCCAGGUAGGGCCUCUAAAACCGAUGGAAGUGAAGUGCUACACCUCAGAGCUGCUUUAGCCCUUAGAGCUGGCCAGGGUCUGAGUGGGCCUCUCACAGGGCCACAGGACUGCCCUUUCCCCCAGCAUGCCUAGAAGCUGAGACCACUCACACCACAUGAACAUGCUAUCCUUGUUCCUCUUUCCUGCCAGCCUCAACACAACCAGAAUACAGCCCAAUAAUGGCUGCCUACAAAUGGGAGGCACCCAGGGAAGGGAGGGGGUGCUGAUUAAGAACCAGCCUGGAGGAGGAUCAUGGUUUCUCUGAAACAAGAAGGAGAAACAGAUGCCCUGCCCAGAAGCAACACGGCUAAUGGGUGCCACCGUGGAGACCCAGGCAACCUGAGAGUAGUCCUGACAGCCAGACCUCCAGGGUGGAAAUGGGAAGGUCUACAGAGAAAGGUCAGGAUUUAACAGGGAAAUGGAGGAGGGCAAGAAUGGGGGUCAGGAGGUAUCUACGCAUUUUGAUAUGAAAUUAAGAAGUUCAUUUAAAAUAUACAACCAAGGCCCGUGACACUUUUUGUAACAAGAUUCUAGCUUAUCUUCCCACUAGAUUUUGUUGGACUUUUUUCAAAUUGUAUCUGAUUGUGUUUUUCAAACUAGGCCAGGAGGGCCCCUCAACUUCUAAAAUACAAAAAUUCUUUCUGCUCCUCUUUUCAAAUCUUCUCAGAUUCUGGACACACCCAGAAAUUCCAUGUGCCUUUUUACUCCCUUAAUCCUGUUAACUUUUUGUCUCUUCUUAGCAAUGACUUCCUUUCAUUUUAGAGAAAGUUCUGCUGGUAACAUACUGUAUAAGCCAGGAGAGAAAAAGAACUUGAAAGAGGAACACAUUUUUCUUCAUUUUUUUUUUUUCAAAAAAGGUAAGGGAAAAAAAUAAAGGAAGUGGAGAAAUAUACUACUCAGUACAGUUGUCAAACAAAUUUCUUGGAACCAUGGCCUACAAGAAUACCUAUCUUAACUGCAUUGCACUAGAAACCACAUUUUCAUAUUCCUUUUGUGAUAAUUCUAAGAUAAUGAAUUAGAUGUUAGCCAUUGUUUUCCAGAAUAGAAUUUCUGGAGUUACUGGUAGUUCAGGGAAUUUUAGUCACAAGAUAUAUAUUUUCUGUACCUUUGUGUGUGUGUAUAUGUGUGUAUGCAUAUAUACUUAUAUACAUGCACAUAUAUACACAUACACACAAACAUGCAUGUGCUAUAGCUUUUGAAUGGAGAUAUAUGUGUGUGUACACACACACACAUUCAUUCAUUCAUUUAUAUCAUACAGCUUCUCUGAAGAGCAACAGGAGAAAAAUGCAGGAAAUAUAAAGGCAACCUGGGGUCAGUCCUAUGCAGUGAGCUCUUUGAGGUCUCCAUCAGAAAUAAAAGAUUUCAGUCUUUUUUGGCUGGGCACAGUGGCUCACACCUGUAAUCCUAACACCUUGGGAGGCCAAGGUGGGAGGAUUAACAAAAAAUACAAAAAUUAGCCGGGGGUGGUGGUGGGAGCCUGUAGUCCCAGCUACUUGGGAGGCUAAGAUGGUAGGAUCACCUGAGCCAGGGAGAUGGAGGCUGCGGUGAGCCAUGAUCGCACCACUGCACACCAGCCUGGGUGACAGAGUGAGACCCUGUCCUAAAAAAAAAAAAAAAAAAAAAUCAAUCUUUUCAUAGUUAUUCAAAUUAAAACAACAAAAUAGAGAUGUGAAGACUUGGCUCAGGAAGAUUCAGUCAUCUCAACAGUCACUGUAAAGAACUGCCAUCAGACUCCUUUUGACUCUAAAUGGCAAAGGAUACCAACACUGUUCUUCCUAGGAAGCUAAUCUAUAGUUAAAAUAGGCACAUUGCAUAGCUCUGUGUAUCUACAGUGUUGUAAUUGUCUAACAGAGUGGAGAUACUAAAUGUACUCAGUGCAUAAAACACAUUUUAUUUAAAAUAGAGAGGAAAUUCCUGAGGGAACAAUAAAAUCAAGGAUGUUACAGUAAUUUCAUGAGC
Molecule: long non-coding RNA, 3166 nt
Organism: Homo sapiens (human)
Lineage: Eukaryota; Metazoa; Chordata; Mammalia; Primates; Hominidae
Source: Ensembl